AGAGUUUGAUCCUGGCUCAGGACGAACGCUGGCGGCGUGCUUAAUACAUGCAAGUCGAGCGAGGUUACUGUUUUGGAUCCCUUCGGGGUGAAGAAGCUUUAACCUAGCGGCGGACGGGUGAGUAACGCGUGGGUAACCUACCCCAAAGUCCGGGAUAACAGCGGGAAACCGCUGCUAAUACCGGAUGUCUUUACCUUGGGGCAUCUUGAGGUAAAGAAAGGCAACGCUUUGGGAUGGGCCCGCGUCCCAUUAGCUAGUUGGUGAGGUAACGGCUCACCAAAGCGACGAUGGGUAGCCGGCCUGAGAGGGUGGACGGCCACACUGGGACUGAGACACGGCCCAGACUCCUACGGGAGGCAGCAGUAGGGAAUAUUGCGCAAUGGACGGAAGUCUGACGCAGCGACGCCGCGUGAGCGAUGAAGGUCUUCGGAUCGUAAAGCUCUGUCCUUGGGGAAGAAGGCGAAAGCUUGACGGUACCCAAGAAGAAAGCCCCGGCUAACUACGUGCCAGCAGCCGCGGUAAU
Molecule: ribosomal RNA, 523 nt
Filed under: uncultured bacterium
Lineage: Bacteria
Description: bacterial SSU rRNA
Rfam family: Bacterial small subunit ribosomal RNA
Source: RNAcentral